Molecule: long non-coding RNA, 239 nt
Filed under: Citrus maxima (pomelo)
Lineage: Eukaryota; Viridiplantae; Streptophyta; Magnoliopsida; Sapindales; Rutaceae
Description: long non-coding RNA (CMAX_LNC001355)
Source: RNAcentral
CAGUAAAGCUUUUUAAAGAGAGAGCAAAGAAGAGAAUGAAGUUGAAGUGUUGGGGAUGUGUCCAUGCUCUUUGUAUAUAUGGAAAUGUUUGCUUUCUGUGUAUUGUUAGAGUGUUAACUGCUCCCCACUUAUAGUUCUUUUGUUUUUCAGGUGGUCUAUAGAGUUUGGAGCUCCUAAAACUGGGUCCCCGGAGCUUCAUGUUAUGCUAGCUGAAUAUUUAUAUUCAGAAUCCCCUGAAC